GAUGAACGCUGGCGGCGUGCUUAACACAUGCAAGUCGAACGAAGCACUUUAUUUGAUUUCCUUCGGGACUGAUUAUUUUGUGACUGAGUGACGGACGGGUGAGUAACGCGUGGGUAACCUGCCUUGUACAGGGGGAUAACAGUUGGAAACGGCUGCUAAUACCGCAUAAGCGCACAGCAUCGCAUGAUGCAGUGUGAAAAACUCCGGUGGUAUAAGAUGGACCCGCGUUGGAUUAGCUAGUUGGUGAGGUAACGGCCCACCAAGGCGACGAUCCAUAGCCGACCUGAGAGGGUGACCGGCCACAUUGGGACUGAGACACGGCCCAAACUCCUACGGGAGGCAGCAGUGGGGAAUAUUGCACAAUGGGCGAAAGCCUGAUGCAGCGACGCCGCGUGAGCGAAGAAGUAUUUCGGUAUGUAAAGCUCUAUCAGCAGGGAAGAUAAUGACGUUACCUGACUAAGAAGCACCGGCUAAAUACGUG
This 481-nucleotide ribosomal RNA is filed under the name uncultured bacterium. RNAcentral's name for it is "partial 16S ribosomal RNA". It matches the Rfam family "Bacterial small subunit ribosomal RNA", at positions 28 to 507 of the family's 1533-position model. The record is from RNAcentral.